UGCAUGUCUCAGGCGCGCGCCUCUCCUCAUGCUACUCCGCUGCCCCGUAUCUGCUCUCCGUCUCUCUUUCGUUGUCUGGUUGGUGCACCCUGCUUGGGUGGGGGUGAUCUUGUGCGUGUGCGUGUGCGUGUGCGUGUGCGUGUGCGUGUGCGUGUGCGUGUGCGUGUGCGUGUGCGUGUGUGCUUUGCUUUUUGGAGGGAGGGGGCGGACGCCUCUUGUCGAACUCGCGCUUGAUGUUCUCCCCUGUGCCUCAGCAUCUCCGCCGUCUCGCUUGAUUUUUUUUUUUGUCGGAGGUGGGGGGGCUGGUGCUGUGGACCCGUCUGCGAGACUGCAUGUCUUGCUGCGCAAGGGCACACCCCAUCCCACCCCACCCAACACCUUUUCCUGUGGCGCCAGCCGGGCUGAGCUCCGCUGCCGAGUCUGCCCGUUUUCUCGUCGCGGGGCGGGGCACGGGAGGCGCAAAAAGAGAACGGUAGCAGUGCCGCGAGCAUCGCCCUCUUUACCCCGCUCGGCCCCAACUCUCGAGUCUGCCAGAUGGAGCUGCAGACGCAGCCGCGCUUCUGUCCGCCGCGACCGCGCCCCUACGCGGCCUCUUUGGUGUGGAUGUGUCUGGCAUGCGGUCAGCUUGCCCCGUAUGAGGCAGCCCCCCACUAUUCGAUGGAAAGCAUCGACGGCUUGGAUAACUCUCUCCAAGGAACCUCAUCUGCUAUGAACGCCAUGCCAGGUGGAUUCGACGUCACCACGGCGCUCAGCGACUGCGAAGCAGCCGCCCACGCUUACAAGAGCUCCCCUCCGAAUACGGCACAGCAUCUUUUCGGCCAUUCGCAGUGCGGUGGCGUCACUGGAUCUACCGCAGCCGCUGCAGCCACCUCGGCGUCCUCACCGACGGCAUCAAGGUCGCCGCGGCAGGAGCAACGACACUCUUGCGUGAACAACGCAUCAGACUCGUACCUGUCUCAGGCUGCCUCGUUCAGUCAUAGACAGCGUGAGCAGCAACAGCAGCAGCGGCGGCGUCCCUCGAGCGUGAGUUGGCGUGUAACGGGGGCCACCGCUGAGAUGAUUCAUCCCGAUAGUGUCGGUAGCGCUAGCGAAAGGCGAAAGCGGCGCGAAGGCGAGCUAGUCUCUGCCGGGAUCUCCAGCCUAUGCGCUGACGAAAAGACCCUCGGAGACGGCGAGAUCUUGGUCUGUGACGGCAUCUCGUCAAGUCACUGCCGACGCGCACCCACAACGGUCUCCACGACCCUGGGGAGUACCAGCAAUGAAAGCAGCACCCUCGCCGUCACUCCAUGUAAGCCCGCUGUCGCUGCUCUCCCUCAGCUGUCGGCAGCCUCUUCGUCCCUCUGGAGAGACGCGGGCGUCCGUGGCGUACAAAACCUGUCGAGCUCCGGGGCACGCUCCCGGCAGCAGGAAGACGAUGCAGCGUGCUCCCUGGCUGUGCUGCUCAUGGAGGAGCACCUGAUGGGCAGUCGUGAGAUGCGUUUCUGCCGUUGCUGCGGUGAGGUACGGUGCGCCGAGAUCCGAAAGGUUACCGAGCGGCUGCCCUCGCCGCUGUCCGCACGAGUGGCAGAUAAAGUCUCGUACACGGACGAGGAGGGAGACGAAGUGGAGGCGGCGGCUGCCCAAGCAACGGUGGAGUCGGAGCACGAGCACUGGAAGGCGAUAUUGAGCCACAGCUGCCGCAGCACUGCCAUUCGCCGGGAUGGAGGCGCGGCAGCCGUGUACGGCCCCUUCACCUCGCAUGCUCUCUACAGCGGCAACGAGUCGCAGCCGCUAGGUGUUUUGGCCCCCGCUGCCGAAAAUGGCUGCAAGCCACCCGAGACAGCGCAGGCGGAAACUCGCAAGGAGAUCCCCUCUGUCCACCUCGCUGUCGCCCUCUUCCUCGCGCGACUCCUGUCAAAAGUGAAGGUCAUGGCGGUGACGGCACUUGGCAACUUCCAUCCGCUCUCGCCGGCGCUGCCCAAGACGUACUUCAGCAGUCAUGGCAGUGAACACGGUGACAAGGCGGCAAUACGCGGUUACGGAAACGGCGUCCUCGCCAGUGACUCAGCGCCGCGGUCGGCAAGCUCGAUCUCGCGCCUUCCACGGAGGGCCCAGGAAGGGUGUCGCCCGAGCUACCCUCUGUACAACCCCAGCGAGGGGAUGAGGACGAGCAGUGACCACUGGAAGUCCCUCUCCGCCUCCACGGCGACGAGCAGGACGUCACCACCGGCGUGCGCCUCGGCGGAGGAGUGCACGCUGCCGUGCUUGGCAUCGCUGCUCGGCGUCACCGGCGGCGGUGCAUCGGAGGACUUGUACGGCAUCUCGCUGGACUCUAGUGCGCAGCCGAGCUGGGUCUUCACAGCACCGGACGAGGAGGAGACGUACAGGGCUGAAGACGACGAGGGCCUCGUUAUCCAGCACCAGCGGGGAGGCGUGCAGAGCGAUGAGGACGCCAGCGCAGUCGGCGCCGAAGAUGCGCAUACGUGCGCACGAAUGCUUUACGAUGACUCUACCGCCGCAUCUAACAUCAUGGGCACCACGGCGGCCGCGGCGACGACGAUGCGCGCGUGCAAAGACAAGUGGAGCUCGAUUAGCGUUUCAGAGGCGCUGUGGCGUCUGGUGCUGCCGUCCUUCAGCGCCCCCUUUCUGUCAACGACGUCAAUGCCGUCGACAGCCGCCGCCGCGGCAAGAGCUACCUCUGUUCACCGCGCAUUUUCGGCCGGCGGCAGCAGACCACUUGAGUCGCUGAUGGGCUGGAUCGCGUCUGCACCGCGUCGCGGGGCUGUGGAGUCGACGGCGAGCAGCGCUGUGGUUACCGGCACGCGUCCCUACCGGGGCUUUCGCGGAGAUGUCGAGGAGGCGGUCCGUCAGCUGGAUGCGGCGCAGCUAGAGGUGGCAAAGCUGCGGCUGCAGCAGGUGUUGGCGGCUGUAAUGGCGGAGCAGCUGCGGCGCGAGGGCCAGUCGGAGGGAGAGUACCCAACGUAGAGCGAACACGAAGCCCCUCUGCAUGCCUUCGCUCUCGCAUUGUGUGUCUGUAUGCUGGUGUUCACCACCACCACCCCCCUCCCCUCCCCUCCUCCUUUCAGCUCAUCCUGCUGCCACCCGCCUGCACGGAUGUGCACGUAAGCGACGGUGGCGUGUCCGACAAGGAGCGUGUAUACCCUGGACGUGUAUGCGUAUCUGCAUGUGUGCCGUCUUCUCACGGAUCCUCACCGCUUUACGGAGCGCGCGUAACGUGUGCUCUGCUCGCUUUUCUUCCCGCAUCUGUUCAGCAGCCACAAGCGGAGACGAAGACCGUCUCGGCAAGGCAGAGAUGCGCUCAGUUUGCUUCACAGUGUCAGCCGCCAACCCCCCCCCAGCCUGCUUUCCUUCCCCCCCACCCCACUCCCACACACACCUGGUGCGUCGCUCAAUGCCUCCACGGAAAGACGGCUCUGUCUGUGGCGGCUCUGUGACAGCAAGAGCAGCGACAGCGGCGGAGGGGGACAGCCCUGUCGCGCCCACGAGUUGCGAUGACUGCUACUUGGUGAAUAAGAGAGAGGGGAAGGGACGGAUGCAUGCAAAGCGGCCAAGCAUGCAGGAGCAUCUAUCCUGCGCAGCUGCGGCCCGAUGUUUACCCCCGUGCCUGAUCUGGAUGUGCCUACCCAUGCAGGAGGGGGGGGGCGCCAGCACCGGCACAUACGCGCGUGAAGUGAAGAUGGCCAUGACCAUUCUUGUGAGGGAGCACCUCUACAUGCCUGUCGCUCUUUCUGCUUCAUCUACUCUCUCUCUCUUUCUGUGGAUUCACGUCGCGGGCGGCACACAUCACCCACGGGGCGGGGCUCUUUCCUUGUCUGCUAUUGGUUGCUGUUUUUUUUUGGGGGGGUGUCGGUGCCUGCGUCUCGCUACGAAUGAGAGUGCAUCGCCGCCGUAGCGCAGCAGUAACAGCAGGGCCGCAGGCGUGAGCUGAAGUCGCCUUCAGCGCCUUUCUUCGCAGCUUCUCGUUUCUUUCAUUGUGUCACUGGUAAUCUGUUGCUGCUUCCCCGCCACCACCACCACCACCAUCACCCCUCUUGCCUCCAUCCCGUCCUUACACACACACACACACCAG
RNAcentral lists this unclassified non-coding RNA (4069 nucleotides) under Leishmania donovani. RNAcentral's name for it is "gene:LdHU3.19.1370(CDS-product:hypothetical_prote in_conserved)". The record is from RNAcentral. Lineage: Eukaryota; Euglenozoa; Kinetoplastea; Trypanosomatida; Trypanosomatidae.